UUACCAUGCAGUCGAACGGUAACAGGGAGCUUGCUCCGCUGACGAGUGGCGAACGGGUGAGUAAUAUAUCGGAACGUACCCAAGAGUGGGGGAUAACGUAGCGAAAGUUACGCUAAUACCGCAUACGAUCUAUGGAUGAAAGCAGGGGACCUUCGGGCCUUGUGCUCCUGGAGCGGCCGAUAUCUGAUUAGCUAGUUGGUGAGGUAAAGGCUCACCAAGGCGACGAUCAGUAGCUGGUCUGAGAGGACGACCAGCCACACUGGAACUGAGACACGGUCCAGACUCCUACGGGAGGCAGCAGUGGGGAAUUUUGGACAAUGGGCGCAAGCCUGAUCCAGCAAUGCCGCGUGAGUGAAGAAGGCCUUCGGGUUGUAAAGCUCUUUUGUCAGGGAAGAAACGGGAUUGGCUAAUAUCCAGUCCUAAUGACGGUACCUGAAGAAUAAGCACCGGCUAACUACGUGCCAGCAGCCGCGGUAAUACGUAGGGUGCAAGCGUUAAUCGGAAUUACUGGGCGUAAAGCGUGCGCAGGCGGUUUUGUAAGUCUGUCGUGAAAUCCCCGGGCUCAACCUGGGAAUUGCGAUGGAGACUGCAAGGCUAGAAUCUGGCAGAGGGGGGUAGAAUUCCACGUGUAGCAGUGAAAUGCGUAGAGAUGUGGAGGAACACCGAUGGCGAAGGCAGCCCCCUGGGUCAAGAUUGACGCUCAUGCACGAAAGCGUGGGGAGCAAACAGGAUUAGAUACCCUGGUAGUCCACGCCCUAAACGAUGUCUACUAGUUGUCGGGUUUUAAUUAACUUGGUAACGCAGCUAACGCGUGAAGUAGACCGCCUGGGGAGUACGGUCGCAAGAUUAAAACUCAAAGGAAUUGACGGGGACCCGCACAAGCGGUGGAUGAUGUGGAUUAAUUCGAUGCAACGCGAAAAACCUUACCUACCCUUGACAUGUCAGGAAGACCGGAGAGAUCUGGUUGUGCCCGAAAGGGAGCCUGAACACAGGUGCUGCAUGGCUGUCGUCAGCUCGUGUCGUGAGAUGUUGGGUUAAGUCCCGCAACGAGCGCAACCCUUGUCAUUAGUUGCUACAUUUAGUUGAGCACUCUAAUGAGACUGCCGGUGACAAACCGGAGGAAGGUGGGGAUGACGUCAAGUCCUCAUGGCCCUUAUGGGUAGGGCUUCACACGUCAUACAAUGGUACAUACAGAGGGCCGCCAACCCGCGAGGGGGAGCUAAUCCCAGAAAGUGUAUCGUAGUCCGGAUCGCAGUCUGCAACUCGACUGCGUGAAGUUGGAAUCGCUAGUAAUCGCGGAUCAGCAUGUCGCGGUGAAUACGUUCCCGGGUCUUGUACACACCGCCCGUCACACCAUGGGAGCGGGUUUUACCAGAAGUAGGUAGCUUAACCGCAAGGAGGGCGCUACC
RNAcentral lists this ribosomal RNA (1409 nucleotides) under uncultured bacterium. RNAcentral describes it as "bacterial SSU rRNA". It matches the Rfam family "Bacterial small subunit ribosomal RNA". The record is from RNAcentral.